Molecule: long non-coding RNA, 480 nt
Filed under: Phoenix dactylifera (date palm)
Lineage: Eukaryota; Viridiplantae; Streptophyta; Magnoliopsida; Arecales; Arecaceae
Description: long non-coding RNA (PDAC_LNC022383)
Source: RNAcentral
GCCGGCUGCGGUGGCCGCAAGCCACGGCGGCCGCAAGCCGCGGCGGCAAGAGAGGCCGUAAGCCGGCCGGGGAGCCGCCGGCUGCGGCUCGGGCCCUCCCCGAGCCAGAUCUCCCGUCCGCGGGAGAAGAAGAAGAAGAAAAAAAAAAAAAGGAACUUACCGGUGGUUGAUCCGCAGCCGCAACCGCGGGCGCCGGCCUCGGCCACGGGCCGCGGGUCGUCGGCCAUGGGGAUGCGGGUCGCCGGCAGCGAGACGCAGAUGCGGCCGUGGGCCGCCGAAGCGGCCGUGGGCCACGGGCACGACCGCGGGCACGGCCGCGGGCGCGACCGUGGGCACCGCAGGCCGGCCGCUGGGCGCCGUCGGCCGCUACCCACUCCUCCCAAGCCGCUCGAGCUCGCCCUCCUCCCUCCACGGGAGAAGAAAUGAGAAGAAAGAGGGAAGGAGGAGUCGGGAGAGGAGAAGAGGAGGAAGAAAAAAAAA